AAUAUUGGUCAAUGGAGGCAACUCUGAACCAGCCACGUCGCGUGAAGGAAGACGGCCCUACGGGUUGAAAACUUCUUUUAUACAGGAAUAAAGUGAGUCACGUGUGACUUUUUGCAUGUACUGUAUGAAUCAGGAUCGGAUAACUCCGUGCCAGCGUCCGCGGUAAUACGGAGGAUCCAAGCGUUAUCCGGAUUGUUCGGGUUUAAAGGGUGCGCAGGCGGAAGAUUAAGGCGGCGGUGAAAUUUUGCAGCUCAACUGUAAAAGUGCCAUCGAUCCUGGUUUUCUUGAGUGUGGAUGAAGUAGGCGGAAUUUGUGGUGUAGCGGUGAAAUGCAUAGAUAUCACGAGGAACUCCGAUUGCGCAGGCAGCUUACUAGGCCAUAACGGACGCUCAGGCACGAAGGCGUGGGGAUCAAACAGG
RNAcentral lists this ribosomal RNA (419 nucleotides) under uncultured bacterium. Its description in RNAcentral is "partial 16S ribosomal RNA". It matches the Rfam family "Bacterial small subunit ribosomal RNA", at positions 360 to 776 of the family's 1533-position model. The record is from RNAcentral.